AAAACUCACCAGGUCAGGACACGGUAAGGAUUGACGGACUGAAGGCUCUUUCUCGAUUCCGUGGAAAGUGGUGCAUGGCCGUUUUGGUUGGUGGAUCGAUCCGUCUGGUUAAUUCCGUUAACGAACGAGACCUCGGACACUCCGAAUAGCGCGGCGGACGUCGCGGCCUCCGGGGCCGUCUUCCGCACGAGCUUCUUAGAGGGACCGUCCCCCGCCGGGGAAGGAGGUGCGAGGCAACGACAGGUCUGUGAUGCCCUUAGAUGUUCUGGGGCCGCACGCGCAUUACACUGACGCGUCCAACGGGUGACUCCCGACCCGAAGGGGCCGGGGAAUCCGCAAGGCGCGUCGUGAUGGGGAUUGAACGUUGCAAUUGUUGUUCACGAACGAGGAAUUCCUAGUAGGCGCGGGUCAUCAACCCGCGCCGAUUACGUCCCUG
RNAcentral lists this ribosomal RNA (436 nucleotides) under uncultured eukaryote. Its description in RNAcentral is "bacterial SSU rRNA". It matches the Rfam family "Eukaryotic small subunit ribosomal RNA", at positions 1210 to 1655 of the family's 1831-position model. The record is from RNAcentral.